AGAAUUUUAACUGUUAAGGCAGUUUUGGACAAGAGACGGCAUGAAGGAAGAAGGGGUUUUCUGAAGCUGUUGAUUGGGAAUGUUGGGAUUGUUGGAUCCACUUUGCUAGGAGGUGGGAAAGCAAUUGCUGAUGACCAAGGGGUUUCUUCCUCCAGGAUGUCAUAUUCUAGGUUUUUGGAGUAUUUGGAUAAGGAUAGGGUGGAAAAGGUAGACUUGUUUGAGAAUGGAACCAUUGCUAUCGUAGAGGCUGUUUCACCUGAGUUGGGUAACCGGGUGCAGCGAGUUCGUGUUCAACUUCCAGGGCUCAGCCAAGAGCUUCUUCAGAAGUUUAGAGAGAAGAACAUUGACUUUGCUGCACAUAAUGCUCAGGAAGAAUCAGGUUCCUUGCUAUUCAACUUGAUUGGGAAUCUGGCAUUUCCUUUAAUCUUAAUUGGAGGCCUGUUCCUUCUUUCUCGACGUUCAUCAGGAGGAAUGGGUGGGCCUGGUGGGCCUGGUUUCCCCUUAGCUUUCGGUCAAUCUAAGGCAAAGUUCCAAAUGGAACCAAGCACUGGUGUGACAUUUGAUGAUGUUGCUGGAGUGGAUGAAGCGAAGCAGGAUUUCAUGGAGGUAGUGGAGUUUCUUAAGAAGCCUGAGAGAUUCACUGCAGUAGGGGCUCGCAUUCCAAAAGGCGUUCUUCUUGUUGGGCCUCCAGGUACUGGGAAAACUCUUCUGGCCAAGGCAAUUGCUGGUGAAGCGGGUGUUCCAUUUUUCUCCAUUUCAGGUUCGGAGUUUGUUGAGAUGUUUGUCGGUGUUGGAGCCUCUAGAGUCCGGGAUCUCUUCAAGAAGGCCAAAGAGAAUGCUCCUUGCAUUGUAUUUGUGGAUGAAAUUGAUGCUGUGGGAAGGCAAAGAGGAACAGGAAUCGGUGGAGGAAACGAUGAAAGAGAGCAGACACUAAACCAGCUUCUGACAGAAAUGGAUGGUUUUGAGGGUAAUACUGGCGUCAUUGUUAUUGCGGCAACUAACAGGGCGGACAUUCUCGACUCUGCCUUGUUGAGGCCAGGACGGUUUGACAGACAGGUAAGAAUAUGCUACCAUGUUCUUAUUGGUUAUUUAUUGUUCUUUGGGGCAGUCCUCAUUAUAAAAAUGCCAAUUUGCAGGUGACUGUUGAUGUCCCAGAUAUUCGAGGAAGAACAGAGAUAUUAAAAGUUCAUGCCGGCAAUAAGAAAUUUGAUGCUGAUGUGUCUCUUGAUGUGAUAUCCAUGAGAACACCUGGUUUCAGUGGGGCUGAUCUUGCAAAUCUCUUGAAUGAGGCAGCUAUUCUAGCUGGUCGGCGUGGAAAGACAGCAAUUUCAUCUAAAGAGAUUGAUGAUUCAAUUGAUAGGAUUGUCGCUGGAAUGGAAGGAACUGUUAUGACGGAUGGAAAGAGUAAAAGUCUCGUUGCAUAUCAUGAAGUUGGGCAUGCUGUUUGCGGGUAAGGGAGAUAUUUCCGAGUUAGAUUUAGUUUUUUAUCUUUAUAAAUUAUAAAUUAUUGGAUGGAGUAAAUCAAAUUAGAAUUUGGAACCGAGCAGUAAUGCCAGGAACUCCAUUUGAUGCUAAACUAAAGUUGAGAAGUAGUAAUAGAGCUGGCAAAUCAAUUCCGUUAUAAAAACUUGAUCGUAGAGAACUGAAAGCAGCAAUAUAAACGACUCUUGAAAUCUCUGAACUCACUAGCAGUAGAAAUUUGAAACUCAAAAGUAAUUUCAUCAAGAAUAUGAAAGGAUAGAGACCAUAAAACCCUAAUUUCCAAGGAUAGCUCAAGAAUCAUGUUCAAAAAAGGGAAAGAGAACCUGACUUGUUUUCAAACUUUUGACUGGCAUCUACACUGAAAGUGGAAAAAUAACGGUCAUGUUCUUAGUAACUUAAGAUGCUUGGUCUCUACUAUGCUACAUUCUAAUCUAUCUCAGUUGACAUAGAUGAACUGCAUCAUCAAGAAAAGUCUCCUCCAGUAUAAAGCCACAACUUCUCUUCUACAUCUAACCUGUUUCCCAAAAUUCCCUGUAAAACAUCUGAAAAUCUGAAAACUAACUAGAAGCCGAUCCUUUUUCCUUGUUAUUACUCCUGCACCACUUCCCUCAUUUGAUCACCCCUUCUUCUCCACAUCCAAAAUCAUCUCUCUACCUAGAGUAUCAUCGUUUGCAUCAGUUGAGAUAUCUACUUCUUUGGAAAAUAAACUUCCAUAACACUCUUUAUUGUUUUAUUCAGAACUUUGACUCCAGGGCAUGAUGCGGUUCAGAAAGUCACCCUAAUUCCACGUGGCCAGGCACGGGGCCUCACCUGGUUUAUUCCUACAGAUGACCCCACAUUGAUCUCUAAGCAACAACUUUUUGCAAGAAUAGUUGGAGGAUUAGGUGGCAGAGCUGCUGAAGAAGUGAUAUUUGGUGAGCCUGAGGUGACCACAGGGGCAGCCGGUGAUUUGCAGCAGAUCACGGGUCUGGCUAAGCAGGUAACCAAAAAUUUCAAUUUUAUACGCGUUGACCAGUGUUCACUUUGUUCUACAAAGAUCAGUUUUACUAUGUCAAUUUAUGUAAUGUCCUUUUGGAGUAGGAAAUGGGAUCUGUGCAUUUAAUAUUCCAAUUUCCGUAAGAUGGAAGGAUUCUCUUUUAGUUAGUUGAUAAGUCAACAUAAUCUGGAUCAGCUCUUGAGUUAAAGACAGUAUCUGGAGUCUAGAAUUUCAUCCUAAUUUGAAGUCACAUUUGCCAUGUCUUUUCCUUUCUUCUUUUGGUGAUUUGUGUGGCAUAUCUGUCUUGCUUUUUGUAUGUAUUUCUGCAUGCCCUUUUGCAUAUUUCAUCAAGAAGAAUUUAAUUGAAAUGAGGAGUGUUUUUUGAUCCUGUGGUUACAGAUGGUAACCACGUUUGGAAUGUCAGAAAUUGGACCAUGGUCACUAAUGGAUGCAUCAGCUCAAAGCGCUGAUGUCUUCAUGAGAAUGAUGGCAAGGAAUUCGAUGUCAGAAAAGCUCGCAGAAGACAUUGAUGCUGCUGUGAAGAGGAUAUCAGACGGUGCAUAUGAAAUUGCUUUGAGUCACAUAAGGAGCAACCGUGAAGCCAUUGAUAAGAUUGUGGAAGUCCUCCUUGAGAAGGAAACUAUGACCGGUGAUGAGUUCCGAGCAAUCCUCUCUGAGUUUGUUGAGAUUCCCACCGAAAAUCGGGUCCCCCCUGCAGUUCCCUCCCCUGUGUCAGUGUAAUUAUUGCAUACUAUUACUCUCCAUAUGUUUACUGCAACUUUGACAAUACAUCCAAAGGCUGGUUAAAUGUAUAAUUUGUAUAAUUGAU
RNAcentral lists this long non-coding RNA (3287 nucleotides) under Populus trichocarpa (black cottonwood). RNAcentral's name for it is "long non-coding RNA (PTRI_LNC003326)". Lineage: Eukaryota; Viridiplantae; Streptophyta; Magnoliopsida; Malpighiales; Salicaceae. The record is from RNAcentral.